CCUACGGGAGGCAGCAGUGGGGAAUAUUGGACAAUGGGCGAAAGCCUGAUCCAGCAAUGCCGCGUGAGUGAUGAAGGCCUUAGGGUUGUAAAGCUCUUUUACCAGGGAUGAUAAUGACAGUACCUGGAGAAUAAGCUCCGGCUAACUCCGUGCCAGCAGCCGCGGUAAUACGGAGGGAGCUAGCGUUGUUCGGAAUUACUGGGCGUAAAGCGUACGUAGGCGGUUAUUCAAGUCAGAGGUGAAAGCCUGGAGCUCAACUCCAGAACUGCCUUUGAAACUAGAUAGCUAGAAUCUUGGAGAGGUGAGUGGAAUUCCGAGUGUAGAGGUGAAAUUCGUAGAUAUUCGGAAGAACACCAGUGGCGAAGGCGACUCACUGGACAAGUAUUGACGCUGAGGUACGAAAGCGUGGGGAGCAAACAGGAUUAGAUACCCUGGUAGUCCACGCCGUAAACGAUGAUAACUAGCUGUUCGGGCUCUACGAGCUUGAGUGGCGCAGCUAACGCAUUAAGUUAUCCGCCUGGGGAGUACGGUGCAAGNUUAAAACUUAAGGAAUUGACGG
Molecule: ribosomal RNA, 559 nt
Filed under: uncultured bacterium
Lineage: Bacteria
Description: bacterial SSU rRNA
Rfam family: Bacterial small subunit ribosomal RNA
Source: RNAcentral